GGUUGUCUUUAAAUCAAGAACUUUUUAAGAAAAAUAAAAUUUUAUGGUUCUUUAUAAUAUUUUAACAUUUUUUUGAUGCUCUGAUGGGAAUUAGACAUCAAAAAUUAAUUUUUUUCAUUUAAAACUCUACCCAUUUUGUGCAUUACAGAGAGUCUAAAAAACCUAGCAUCUGGGGGUAACAUUAUUUUUCAAGGGGGGGGGGUGCAUUUUAUUUUAUUAAAUAAAUAAUUAUAGGCAAAUACCUUUUCUAGUUUCAGACAAUAUGGAUGAGAAUAGAAAUUUAGAAGGAAGAGGACUAAAGGAAACCACUAAGUAUCUUGGGAGAAGAUUUUGUGAAAAGAUGUCUGCUCAUGGGUUUGCAAAGAUAAUAGAUGUUGAUUUAGGUGAGAUAACAAUUGGCAUAUUAAUUUAAAAUCUUGUUCUUAAUCUCAUUUGUUUAGGAAAAUUUGCAAAUUUUGUCUGGUUUAUGAUAACUACAAUCUUCUUGACAUGUCUGAUAAUUAAUCUGUUCCCAAAAGUUUUGGUAAUCAUUAAACUGAUCCAAUAUACAGGGUGUCUUGGAAAAAGGAAUAAAUUGCGCAUUUUCAAAGAUAAAAUGAUGGGUUUUUGAAAAGAUAUGACAAAUGAUGUUUGAGUUUUUUUAAAUCUAAGGAAAAGGGACCUAGUACAUUGCAAGGUACAGUUUGGCAUUUUGGAUCAAAAUGUUUUAUCAACAACCGCUAAUUUAUGGACAUAUUAUCUGGUAGAAACACUUGUAAAUACAACAAAAUGACGCUUAGUGGGUGAAAACGCUAUUGAAAAUAUUCGGAACAGGGAAAAAGAACAUUUUCGAAUAUUAAGCAUACUUUAGAAGGAUAAAACGACAUUUUAGAGCAACACGUUUCUUUUCGUUUCAGAGCAUUAUACCAACUAGAGGCAUUUGUAAGUUCAAAAAAUGAUGUUCAAUAGGCGAAAAAGCUUAAACUCAAUUUUUUCAGAGAAACCCUGUAUAUUAUCUAAAUGUUCUAUUGAAAGUUGAUAUCACAAAGUAUAAAAAAGCCUGCAUGAUUGACUAAAAUUAAAGAAUGUUGUGUUACUAGUUAUUUGUAAGACAAGAAUCCCAGACAAGUCUAACUACUCAAGAGAAGAUCGAUGAAGGAAAGGGAUACAAGUUUCCAGUGGUGAUGAUUUGUGACCCUGCUCCAUGGAACAUAAAAAGGAAAUAUUCCUCUCCAAUUUAAUAUUGAUUUAUCUUUAGGAAAAUGUAUACCAUUUCUAUUUUUCUAGCAGUGAAAAUCCCUAUUUGGAAUAUGCCUCUCCUUCUGGGCUAAAUUAUAAAAGGAUUGAAUAUUUAAGAUCUAAAGCAAGUGGAAUUGAAAAAGAAUUGCUCUCUUUCAUAUCUUAUUUGUUAUACUUUUUAUCAACCACACAAAGCAUAAGCAACCAAAAACUUAACAAACUUAAAGGGGAGUACCAAGAAAAAUUGUCUGAAUUUAAUAACAGCUCAUUAGAUUUACUUGAUCGUAUUACAAACAACUGCUCUGAAACAAUAAAAAGUUGUGAAUUUAGUUUUGGACAAACGGUAUAAACAAUUUUUUUCAAACAGCAAGUGCUUCAUAACAAGUUUAAAUUUAAGGUUGGCGGUGAACAAUGUUGCCAGGAUUACUUAGAAACACGGUAAAUACACCAAUUUCCAAUAAGGGAUCAAAAUAAUAAUAAAAUAUUUUGUUUAGGGUCUAUGUCCUGGGUGCUAAGUGCUUUAGGGAAUAAAUUAUAAGUAUUGCUAAAAUGGUCCUAUGUACAAAAUUUUCUUAUGCAAUGAAUACAUUCAUUUAGUUUUAAUAUUUCUUAAAUUCUUAGCAGAAGCUUCCAACAUGGAAUAUCAAAAAUAGCAAUUUGCUUCUAAUUUUCACAUAACCUACCCAAUUAAUAUAUCUCUGUCUAUGCAUUCUAUAAUUAGUAAAUUUACUUCUAGAACCAAAAAAGAAUUUUAUGGAUCUAACUUUGGAUUAAGAAAUGGCAUCAACUUCAGGUAACUCACUUAGCAAUAUCAUAAUUUUAACUUUUACAUUGACUGAGGUUUAAAACAUAUUUUGUUCAAUUAUGAUUCAGAUUAGAGAUUAGCACAGAUGGUGGACAAGUCCUAGAUAAAAACAUUGCUAGUACUGAAGCUUACAAUGCAUUUGGUUCUCAAAUGUCUGUAUUCAACUCCAGAGCAGUGCCAGAGUAUGCAUUUGAAAAACAAAUAACUGCUCUAGGACUCAACACAACAAACAAUCAAGCUAUAACCAAAACAGUGCUAAACAGGACAGAAGAAUUUCUCUUCCUUGGAUUCCUUAAAAAUGGGAACUGUACCAAUUUCAGGCCAUUUUUGCAAAAAGCGAUACAUAAAAUUUUCUAGAAAAGCUCUAAAUUCAAGAAAAGAAUAAAAUGUGUACUAAAAUAAAGAUUUUCGGUUGAAGACACUAGGUAACUUUAAGAAGGAAUGAACACUAAACCCUUAAGUAAUGCCUGAUUAUCUGUACAAAAGAGUGUGUGUGUACUGUAGGUACAAAAGAGGAAAAUUAAAUCUAGAUAUUUGUGCUUUUCAGUCCAGGAAGAUACUGGCCAUGUUUAUUGUAAGUUUAAGGAAGGUUUUUCUAAGAUUAUAUUUACCCUACGUAUAACCCCACUUAAGAGUAUGCUACACCUGUUUGGAACCCUUGGAGUAUAGGGGACUGUGAAAGCCUUGAAAAAGUUCAAAAAACGCAAUUAAUAUGAUCUCAGGAUUGUCAGGAACCACAUAUAAGGAUAAGCUUCUUGAACUAGGCAUCCAAUCCUUAUCUGAUAGAAGAUUAUGUUUCAAUUUAAUUCAGACUUACAAGAUUAUCCAUGGAAAAGAAAAUGUAAAGCUAAACACCUGGCUCCAGUUGGUUGACCCAAUAAUAACCAUCACAACCAGACAAUCAGUAUUUUACCUAAAUAUCCAACCAAAAAGAUCCAACUUAGAAAUAAGGAACAAAUUCUUCAGUAACUGUGUAGUCGAAACCUGGAACAAGCUACCAAAUAACAUCAAAGAUGCUCCACACCAGAAGCUUUUCAUCAAAUCUCUUUAUGACAAAACCUAGAUGGAGAUGUAGAAAAUUAUAAAUCAGAGAACUCCGCUAAACUUCUACUUGAAGUACCCUGGAGUCACAAACACAAACUUAUAUUCAAGUACAUCGGCUAAGUGCAUUGUUAAGGAUUUGAAAAAAAUAUAGAAUAAAGUCGCUGGUUUUUUUUCAGUGGGACCAGUAUCAUUUACCUUCCCUUAAAUCUUAUUCCCUGACUAUUAAAAGAGUAACAGCCAUUUUGCCAUAUUACAAAGUAUCUAGAGAGGAUGAAUGUAACUGGAAUACACUGAAAAGAAACACUGCCUCAAUUUACAACUGCACAACAAACUUGUUAGAGGGUACUUGCUCCCCAGAGGAGAUUAUCAAAGGAGCUAAACUUAUUUUCUCAAGGAAAGAUGAACAAAGGCUUAUUCUAUAAAAUAAAGCUCUUUGCUCAAAUACAUAUAUUUGUAUAUAUUUUGUAUAUAUAUAUGUUAGCUAAAGCUGGCCAAAUGACUGGACCGACUUGGCUGAUUUUUUUUAGAAAACCCACGGAUACCCUUGGGGCAACAUAGGCUAAAUAAUCGAAUUUUUUUCGUCAAAAAUCUAUUUUUAUAAAUCAAUUUUUUAAAUUCCACAGGCCUCCAGCUAGUUUUACAUUGAUUGGUCAACACCUUUAGCAGGAUAAACACACUUAAAGGGACUUUGACAAAAACAAAACUAAAAAUCACAUAAAUUAUCUUUACAGCUCACAAAAUGUUCUAUAAAUUUGGAUCAGAUUGAAAUUAUCCCAAGUUCAUCAAUCCAAAGCACAAACAUUUCCUGGGAUUACUGUAAUUACGACUGUGUACAAAUUGGUUACCAAAUUGAAAGCAACCAAGUUCUAAUGACUCCAGAAUAUGUUGAAAAGGUCUACAAUCCAGCGGAAGGAAAAAGUAUCAUUGUUUUGAACUUGUACUAUUCAGAGAGCUUAUACAAAAAGAUUGAUGUAAAGGGAAAGGGAUUGGGAGAUUUAAUGUCAGAAAUAGGAGGGAGUCUAGGUAUAUUUCUAGGAGCUUCUCUUAUCACAGUUGUGGAGUUUAUAACCUUUUCUUUUUAUGCUUGUUCAGUUCUUUUCAAACUUAUGAAGUAUAGCAUGCAGAAUUAACUUGUUUGUUUUUCAAUUUAUUUUUAAGAUCACAGUCUCCUUCACAUUUGUAAUGUGAUUAUCAAAAACAUAAUUGUCAAAUCUUGAUGUGCAAAUAUAUAUCCUUAAAUGUG
Molecule: long non-coding RNA, 4310 nt
Organism: Eurytemora carolleeae
Lineage: Eukaryota; Metazoa; Arthropoda; Copepoda; Calanoida; Temoridae
Exons: 7
Source: RefSeq, a predicted model, not a curated record